AAAGCGAAUAGUGAAAUCAGGCGGCUCAACCGUACUGGCUAUUAUUCGAACUCACUAACUCGAGAGUGGUAGAGGUAACUGGAAUUUCUUGUGUAGGAGUGAAAUCCGUAGAUAUAAGAAGGAACACCAAUGGCGUAGGCAGGUUACUGGACCAUUUCUGACACUAAGGCACGAAAGCGUGGGGAGCGAACCGGAUUAGAUACCCGGGUAGUCCACGCCGUAAACUAUGGAUGCUA
This 236-nucleotide ribosomal RNA is filed under the name uncultured Candidatus Saccharibacteria bacterium. Its description in RNAcentral is "partial 16S ribosomal RNA". It matches the Rfam family "Bacterial small subunit ribosomal RNA", at positions 584 to 818 of the family's 1533-position model. Lineage: Bacteria; Candidatus Saccharimonadota. The record is from RNAcentral.